CCUGUGCUGAGCUUGUCGACUGCAACUAAUUUGAAUGUUCCAUUGCCAAUCAAAUGUCGGAACCCCUAUAUAAACCUUCAAGACUUAGUAUAAAGUAAAAAGAGUUCAUCGAGAUGAAGUUAGCAUUAAUCCUGUUUUUAAUUUUCAUUAUCCAUGCCCCGAAACAUGGCUCUCAAAAGGAUUGAGUGUUUUUCAAAUGCUUUCAAGUCGUAAUCUAAAAAAAUAAACAAUUUCUUUUAUCAUCGUAUAACAGAUGUCUUUUUUAAAAUGUUGUUUUUCCAAUUAAAUUAAAAAUAAACUUGUUAAAAAGAUAAACCGGUCAUCUUAUUUUUAAAUAGCUUUUCCGACUCCAUAAGGAACAUACAUAUGUAUAUUCUUAAUCCAGCAUCACAAGCCGAAUCGACCUCGCUCUGUCUUUAGUCUUUCUGUUCAUUUAUUUUGAUACGUAUUAAGGUCUUAAAAGCUAAAGCCACCAAACUACUGAAAGAAAGUAAUAAACAUAUAUUAAAGGACCUAAAUUUUUUGGACACUCAAUAUCCACUAGUGAUCUGAAUUCAUACGAUCAUAGACUUAGUUAACCUUGUUAACUAACUAGUUUAGGUUACCCCGUAACUAAAUGAAAUACAUUCGUUUGAUUAUGUAAGUUGACUGACACUAAUUUAUCGUUUCCAUAACUAAUCCAAUCUCACACUCUUGAAAACACACAAAAUUUGAUAUCUUGUUAAUAAAUCUUGAAAAGUUUUACAAAGUAAACAUAUUAAAAAUGCACUUCCAGAUAAUUUUGCCACUUUUUCUGAUUAUGACUUUUGUUAUCCAUUCCCCGCGAUGGGGUAAGGCUCAUGCUUGAAGUUCGACCGAACACCAAAGACCUGGGAACCCGUAAGCGUAAUUGAAUUAAUGAUUUAUUGGUAUUUAAAAAUUAUUAUGACUUGAUUUAAAAUA
Long non-coding RNA from Drosophila willistoni, 942 nucleotides. RefSeq lists it as uncharacterized. The record is from RefSeq and is a predicted model, not a curated record. The transcript is spliced from 4 exons. Lineage: Eukaryota; Metazoa; Arthropoda; Insecta; Diptera; Drosophilidae.